This 214-nucleotide long non-coding RNA is filed under the name Mytilus galloprovincialis (Mediterranean mussel). Lineage: Eukaryota; Metazoa; Mollusca; Bivalvia; Mytilida; Mytilidae. The record is from RNAcentral.
UUCGGUCCAAGAUAUUCAGAUAUACUGAACAUGUUCAAUAUUCGAAUGCUGAGAAGAAUAAAUGUUAAGACCAAUAAUAAAUUAGACGAGUCUGGAUCUUUACAUAUUAAACCAAUUCCUAUUGCGUACACAGCCAUCACUGUCCAAUCUAGAAGAUUCCAUACAUUACAUAUAUAUCUUUUAAAUCUUUUUCUUCUAGCUGAAACAAAUACCU